GUGUUUUGUUAUACCUGUAGAAAUGAGUAAGAAAGAUCCAGAGCAUGACAUCAGUUAGGAUCAUGAUGAGAUGCUCUCGGCUCGAUAUUAUUGGAGAUACAAAUGGUGCAACACAGAGUUCAAGGAAGGAGGGUUGACUAGAUUGAAGCAGCACCUGGCUUGUGGUUAUCCUGAUGUGUCCAUUUGUCGGAAAUGUCCGCAAGAGGUCCGAUAAUUGAUGAAAAAGUAUUUUGCUGACUUGAAAGCAGCGAAGGAAAGGGCAAAGCAGAAAAGAGCCGAAGUAGACCGUCGAGCUACGGAGCCACCUUAUCACUCUAGAGAGUCAGGAGGCUUCUGCUCCAGAUGAUGAGGCACAGAUUGAGGCUGCCAUUCAGGCGAGCUUAGCA
RNAcentral lists this long non-coding RNA (386 nucleotides) under Elaeis guineensis (African oil palm). Its description in RNAcentral is "long non-coding RNA (EGUI_LNC081001)". Lineage: Eukaryota; Viridiplantae; Streptophyta; Magnoliopsida; Arecales; Arecaceae. The record is from RNAcentral.